AACGCACAUUGCGCCCCCUGGCACUCCGGGGGGCAUGCCUGUCCGAGCGUCAUUUCAACCCUCCAGCCCGGCUGGUGUUUGGGCCUUCGUCCUCCGGGGCGGGCCUCAAAGACAGGGACGACGCCGCGUCGAAACCCCCGAGCGUAUGAGACUCUGUCGCUGCUCGAUCGGGACGACCGGUUCGGUCCAACCAACCCAUCUUUUUUCAGGUGGACCUCGGAUCAGGUAGGGAUACCCGCUGAACUUAA
Molecule: unclassified non-coding RNA, 248 nt
Filed under: uncultured fungus
Lineage: Eukaryota; Fungi
Description: sequence contains ITS2
Source: RNAcentral